AAGUUCUGGAAAUAAAAAGCCCUGCAUGUCUAAGUUCACACUUGGCCGCGACAGUGAAACUGUUAAUGGCUCAUUAAAUCUUUUAUGGUUCCUUUGUUCUCUCCCCCGUUACUCCCAUUUUUGGGGUAAUUCUAGAGCUAAUACAUGCCGACUAGCGCCGACCUCCGGGGAUGCGUGCUUUUAUUCCACCCUCUCUAACCCGGGCUCGCCCCGGCCGUUUUGUUGACUUUAUAUAAUCUCUGGCCGAUCGCACUUCCCCGUGGUUUUUACCACUCAUUCAAACGUCUGCCCUAUCAUCUUUCGAUGGUACUUUCUGCUCCUACCAUGGUGACCACUGGUAACGGGUAAUCUGGGUCCCACU
This 361-nucleotide ribosomal RNA is filed under the name Eryx jayakari. Its description in RNAcentral is "bacterial SSU rRNA". It matches the Rfam family "Eukaryotic small subunit ribosomal RNA", at positions 46 to 382 of the family's 1831-position model. Lineage: Eukaryota; Metazoa; Chordata; Lepidosauria; Squamata; Erycidae. The record is from RNAcentral.